Molecule: non-coding RNA, 229 nt
Organism: Camelina sativa (false flax)
Lineage: Eukaryota; Viridiplantae; Streptophyta; Magnoliopsida; Brassicales; Brassicaceae
Source: RefSeq, a predicted model, not a curated record
GAUGUGAUUCUUGGGAAAAGGUGGAUCUUGAUCUUGGAAACUACGAGAGGUUUUUAGAUAUUAAAUUAACCAGAGACAAUAACAUCACUACUGGGAAAAUUUACCAGCAUGUUAUUGCUAAAGAGAGGAAAGGAGAUUAUUUGGGAAAGACUGUUCAGGUUGUUCCUCAUGUCACUGAUGCUAUUCAAGAUUGGAUUGAGAGAGUUGCGGUUAUUCCUGUUGAUGGAGA